GUGCUCUCACUUCAGCAGCACACAUACUAAAAUUGGAACGAUGCAGGGAAGAUUAGCAUGGCAGCCAUGCAAGGAUGACAUGCAAAUUGGCGAAGCGUUCCGUAUUUUU
Molecule: small nuclear RNA, 109 nt
Organism: Otolemur garnettii (small-eared galago)
Lineage: Eukaryota; Metazoa; Chordata; Mammalia; Primates; Galagidae
Source: Ensembl